GCCUCGUUAGCUCAGCGGUUAGAGCACUGGUCUUGUAAACCAGGGGUCGAGAGUUCAAUUCUCUCACGGGGCU
RNAcentral lists this transfer RNA (73 nucleotides) under Pocillopora damicornis (cauliflower coral). RNAcentral describes it as "tRNA-Thr". It matches the Rfam family "tRNA". Rfam says of the family: Transfer RNA (tRNA) molecules are approximately 80 nucleotides in length. Their secondary structure includes four short double-helical elements and three loops (D, anti-codon, and T loops). The record is from Rfam by way of RNAcentral. Lineage: Eukaryota; Metazoa; Cnidaria; Anthozoa; Scleractinia; Pocilloporidae.